Molecule: non-coding RNA, 813 nt
Organism: Biomphalaria pfeifferi
Lineage: Eukaryota; Metazoa; Mollusca; Gastropoda; Planorbidae
Source: the annotation of a GenBank genome assembly
UAAUUAAACAAUCCCUGUGGCAUUAAGUAUAGAUUUCAUUGCAAUAUUGGAAGUUAUACAUGAUGAAAUAGGAUGGGGGACAAGUACCAACCUAAAACUAAUAAGACUAAUUGAAAUGACAAGGGCAGGUCACUUUGAAAGAACCAAGAAGCAGCAGACCCAAGGGCAAUAACAAAAAGAAGAGUCAGCAAUACAAUAUUGAAUUAUAUGAUUGGCAAAGAGCUCAGAGAUCUAAAUGGAAAGAUUUGUGGAAGCAUUUUAAGGCUCUUCAUAAUUUGCAAGUCACUAGUAUGAAUAUAAGCAGUAGGCCAGGUACCUAAGUACCACAAUUAUUUAUAAAUUUCAUAUCAUUUUAAAUAAUUUUUUUUUAAAUAAAAGGUAUGUAGAUUGACAUAUUGAUUUCCUUUUAUUUUAUUUUUUAAAAGAAAUGUCUAAAUUGUUUCAUUCCCUAAGAUUUCAUAUCUUUAUUACACACAUUUGUUCAUACAUGUAUUUUAUAACAGAGAAUCUUUUUCUUAACCUUUUUGUAAAGACAGAAUUAUUUUUGUAUUAAAAUGUAAGCAGUUUUGUGUGUGCUGUAUUAUGGUGUUUACAUUUAUUCAAGAAUUCAUUUCUCUUCAUUGUCUCUUUGACUUUAUAAAUCCCAAUCUUGUUUUUCUGAGAAAUAGAUUUUUAAAAUGAUUUAGGACCAUUAGGACAUUUUUGUACUUCAUUUCCAUACCCUGCACUCUCUUUCAAAUCCCUAGACUUUUCAAUCCCUAGACUUCUCUUUUCAAUCCCUAGACUUCUCUUUUCAAUCCCUAGACUUCUCUU